RNAcentral lists this ribosomal RNA (465 nucleotides) under Vreelandella stevensii. Its description in RNAcentral is "partial 16S ribosomal RNA". It matches the Rfam family "Bacterial small subunit ribosomal RNA", at positions 338 to 795 of the family's 1533-position model. The record is from RNAcentral. Lineage: Bacteria; Pseudomonadati; Pseudomonadota; Gammaproteobacteria; Oceanospirillales; Halomonadaceae.
CCUACGGGGGGCUGCAGUGGGGAAUAUUGGACAAUGGGGGGAACCCUGAUCCAGCCAUGCCGCGUGUGUGAAGAAGGCCCUCGGGUUGUAAGGCACUUUCAGUGAGGAAGAACGCCUGGUGGUUAAUACCCAUCAGGAAAGACAUCACUCACAGAAGAAGCACCGGCUAACUCCGUGCCAGCAGCCGCGGUAAUACGGAGGGUGCGAGCGUUAAUCGGAAUUACUGGGCGUAAAGCGCGCGUAGGUGGCUUGAUAAGCCGGUUGUGAAAGCCCCGGGCUCAACCUGGGAACGGCAUCCGGAACUGUCAAGCUAGAGUGCAGGAGAGGAAGGUAGAAUUCCCGGUGUAGCGGUGAAAUGCGUAGAGAUCGGGAGGAAUACCAGUGGCGAAGGCGGCCUUCUGGACUGACACUGACACUGAGGUGCGAAAGCGUGGGUAGCAAACAGGAUUAGAUACCCCGGUAGUC